AAUAGAAUUAGUGUUGAUGUGCCCGAGUCACCGGCUAAGGGGCUAAGCUGUCCUGGAAUAACGCCACUCUACCAGUUCGUAUUCAAAUGUGCUGACCUUGAAGUAGAACACGAGAAGACGAUGUUUUUGGGCUGCCAGAAAGAAGAUCUCGUCCUGGUUUUAUUCGUGGCAAUUUUCUUUGCUUCGAGCUGUGCUUUGACGGGGAAAAAUAAUCGUCCUGAAGUGACAAUCUCCCAGGGAAUCCUGCGAGGAAAAACACUCACUACUCGCUAUGGUCGAAAUGUAUCAGCGUUUCUCGGAAUUCCUUAUGGGCGACCGCCGAAAGGGGAUCUUAGAUUUACAGCUCCUGUUGCAGCAGAGAGUUGGAACGGAACUCGAGACGCUAGUAUUGAUGGAAAUAUUUGCCCACAAGCCCAAUAUGAUGAAAUUGUAGGAGAUGAGGACUGCCUGUAUAUAAACGUGUAUACUCCACACGAAAUGCUUUCAUCGUGUGAUCCACACAUUAAGGUUCACGAAUGCCCGAAGUCGACACUCUUUCCGGUUAUGGUGUUCGUCUAUGGUGGAGGCUACGUCUCAGGAAGCUUUCUUCCCACGUCGUAUGGUCCAGAGUACAUUCUUGACAAGGAUGUGGUUCUUGUCGUAUUCAAUUAUCGCCUAGGACCAUUGGGAUUUUUGAGCACUGGCGACGAGGUGGCGUCUGGAAAUUGGGGACUAAAAGACCAAAUCUUAGCCUUAAAGUGGGUUCAGGACAAUAUCGCACAUUUUGGUGGUGAUCCUGAUCAAGUGACUUUGUUCGGACAAAGUGCAGGCGGUGCUUCUAUUCACCUCUUGUCGCUGACAAAUGUCACGAUUGGACUCUUUCAUCGAUACAUAACACAAAGUGGACCGGCACUUUCUUCAUUGGCUUACUUGCCCAGAGCUACUUGUGCGAGGCAUGCAUUCAAACUUGGGGAAUAUGUCGGCUGUUACAACGGGACGUCAGAUUCUUUGAUCAACUGUUUACGGACAGUAAAUAUCUCGGAUAUUAUAGCCGCAUAUCCGAAGUUUCACGUAUGGGAAUCAUAUCCUUUUUCCGUAUGGACUCCAACCGAUGAGCUGGAUAUGGAAGGCGCUGUGCUUACUGCCAGUCCAGCUAAUUUGAUAAGUGCUGGUCACAUCCGUGAUUUACCUUGGAUUUCUGGUAUGACACGGAAUGACGGGCUACUAGAAACUGCAAAGUUUUAUGUCGACGACGUACUGCUGAGUGAUUUUCUGGAAAAUUUUGACACUCUACUGCCUGUUUUCCUAAUGUCGUCUUAUGCUCCAGAUGUUGUUGCUGAUUUUAUCGAAGCUGUCAAAUUGUACUACUUCAACGACAAUUUGACAAUCAGUAAUAACGUGCUACUUGAGAAUCUUACCAGACUCGUGAGUGACGAUUUUUUUUACUACCCGGUUUACGAAGCAUUCCAGAAACAGCUUGAACUAGCUGUGAAUCCACAAUAUCUGUACAUUUUCAACUAUCGCGGUACUUUCAGUAACUCUUACUUAGAAACGGAUUCUACAGCUAACUAUGGCACGGCACACUCCGAUGAUUUGAUAUAUCUUUUUCCAUCGGAAGCAAAAUUCUCGGGUAUUAAUAAAACCAUGAGCAUAAUGGAUUAUCAAAUGGUGGACAUUAUGGUGGAGUUGUGGACGUCUUUUGCUAUUAAUGGAACACCUUCGGUUUCAACUUCCGACCGUACUACAAUAUGGAUGCCGUAUUUGAAGGAGCACAAUUACCUACGGAUCGGAAAUGUAUCCAGUGUCGAACUCAAUCUGGAACAUUCCUUCUUCAAAGAACGAGUGCAGUUCUGGGACAGUUUGAAGACCACGUUAAAGUGUGGCAGUCGCAGAAAUCUACGUAAAAGAAAAAAUAGACCACUUGAUAUCAGGUUUAGAAAAAGGAGGAAGAAUAGUAUACCUGUAUGCUGAAAGUAUGUAUGGUAUAAACCGAGUAUAACUGUCCAAAUUAUAAUUUCAACAUUGAGUAUUUUUAUGUUUAACAAUGUUGUCUGAAAUAGUUGUUCAUUAAACUUAAGUAUGGCCGAGCAUUUUUUAAGUAGAUUCAAUUUCAUUAGCUACGAUUAAACUUUUUCUACCUCAUGUGUUUGUUUUGACACAAUUUUGAAUCGAUCUGUCGGUCCUUAAAAUGCUAUAUUGCCAAAUUUCUACACUGCUGACGCGCACGCAAUUUCACGAUAUUCUUACUUCUGCCCAACUCGCAUUAGAGAUUUGCAAAUCCAGUGACAGCCGACAGAUGGAAAGGAAUUCGAAAUGCAAGUGACGAUGCAAGUGACGAUGCAAGUGGCUGCCUUCGGGCAUCAGGUGAUCUAAUCGUGGGAGAUGAGGACUGCCUGUAUUUGAAUGUGUGCACGCCGCAGGUUAUUGAUGAACUGCGAGAAAUAAUGUCAACUUCGUUUUUUCAAAAAAUGAGACUUUCAGAUCCGAACUUUUGCAGGAAAUCUGCAGGGGAAAAUAUUUCUGUAUGACUUAUUAUUUCCGACAAAAUGUUGGACCGGCUCACUUCGUUGAUAAAGUUAUUUCACAGUGAGGAGUUAGCCACUUAUCAGUUCGUGUGUACAUUCGAUUUCAAAAUCUCACGAGAUUUAAAAGGAUUUCAGAGAUUUCAAAGAUUUCAUAAGAUGAAUGAUGUACAUCAGAUUUCAAGGCAGCAGGAAUUUUCACAAUUGAAACAGCGCCAAUGAAAAUUUCUUUGACAACGCACUUCAGCUUCCAAAUGGAAAAAGAUCACCACUACUUCUGGUUAUAAUGUUCACUCACGGCGGAAGAUUCAUUGAAAGAAGUGCUUCUUCAAUGCGAUACGGCCCAAAAUAUGUGCUUGACGAAGACGUGCUCCUUGUUACUUUCAACAACCGUUGGGGCCAUUCGGGUAUUUGAGCACUGGUGACGAAGUGGCGUCUGGAAACUGGGUUCUCAAGUUCGAAAGCAGCUCGCUCUGGCGGAUAAUCGGCAGUUUUUUAAUGAAUGAAAACUAUACGUUUACGGUGGUUCAACAGCCAACUACGGUGUGGCGCAUGGUGACGACCUGAUUAACCUCUUCCCAAGAAAUCAGUUUUUCAAAAAUCUGUAGAACCAAACCAUGUGUGAUACCGACUUCCAAAUGGAUGACAUCAUGGUGCUUCUAAAAUGUAACGGUUUUUCAUCACGAUUGUGAAUGCACAGUAAUCUAUUGCUAGGCCUGCAUUGUCAGAAAUACGGUGUUAAAUAUAACACCGAAAAUAUUUUAUAGAAGUCCACAUCAUUUUGGUGCUGAUUUAAGACCAUUUAGUCUUAAGAAUAGGAUGAUUUACGCCGAUUUCGUUUAAUUUUACACUAAUCGAUGUGGAUUUUUAUUGACACCGUGAAUUUUCUGACAGUGUGUGCAAACAAUCGAUUAAUUGUACACGUUGAGUAAUUAUUCUUACAAUCGAUCGAUGAAUCG
This 3460-nucleotide unclassified non-coding RNA is filed under the name Neodiprion lecontei (redheaded pine sawfly). RNAcentral describes it as "juvenile hormone esterase-like, transcript variant X2". Lineage: Eukaryota; Metazoa; Arthropoda; Insecta; Hymenoptera; Diprionidae. The record is from RNAcentral.